GGCCGACUGCGCAUGCGCGACUAGCGGCGCCUCGACUUGGCGGCCUGGGUCUUGGCCGCGAGCAGAGCCAUCUUGCGCUUGCGGCUGCUCUUGUCGUUGUGCGCCGCCUCGUCGUCGUCGUGGGCGUCAUCGUCCGGUUGGUCUCUGUCGCCGCCGUCGUCAUGGCUUUGGUCCUCCUCUUCUAGACUCUCGUCCUCUUCGACCUCGUCCUCAUCGUCUUCUUCCUCGUCAUCUUCCUCGUCCUCGUCAUCGUCAUCGACCUCGUCGUCGAUAAAGUCGCGGGCCGACAGGCGGCGUGGCUUGGCGGCCGGGGUACGGGACGUGCGCGCGCGCUUGGC
Molecule: long non-coding RNA, 338 nt
Filed under: Pandoravirus salinus
Description: putative ncRNA
Source: RNAcentral